RNAcentral lists this ribosomal RNA (433 nucleotides) under uncultured bacterium. RNAcentral describes it as "partial 16S ribosomal RNA". It matches the Rfam family "Bacterial small subunit ribosomal RNA", at positions 29 to 507 of the family's 1533-position model. The record is from RNAcentral.
AACGAACGCUGGCGGCAGGCCUAACACGUGCAAGUCGAGCGAGCAUUUCGGUGCUAGCGGCGGACGGGUGAGUAACGCGUGGGAACGUGCCCUUUUCUGCGGAAUAGUCCUGGGAAACUGGGGGUAAUACCGCAUACGCCCUUUUGGGGAAAGAUUUAUCGGAGAAGGAUCGGCCCGCGUUGGAUUAGGUAGUUGGUGGGGUAAUGGCCCACCAAGCCGACGAUCCAUAGCUGGUUUGAGAGGAUGAUCAGCCACACUGGGACUGAGACACGGCCCAGACUCCUACGGGAGGCAGCAGUGGGGAAUCUUAGACAAUGGGGGCAACCCUGAUCUAGCCAUGCCGCGUGAGUGAUGAAGGCCUUAGGGUUGUAAAGCUCUUUCAGCUGGGAAGAUAAUGACGGUACCAGCAGAAGAAGCCCCGGCUAACUCCGUG